RNAcentral lists this long non-coding RNA (555 nucleotides) under Lathyrus oleraceus (garden pea). RNAcentral describes it as "Pisum sativum (pea) long non-coding RNA (PSAT_LNC035121)". The record is from RNAcentral. Lineage: Eukaryota; Viridiplantae; Streptophyta; Magnoliopsida; Fabales; Fabaceae.
AAAGAUUCAUUCAAUCCAUCAUCCAAUUAAACCCCAAAACAAAUAUCCAAUUCCAAUAUUUCAUUUUUAAUAUCUAUAGAACUAAUCAAUAUCCAAUAUUAAUCCAAUAACCAUAAUCCAAAUUCAAUAAUCCAUUUACAUAUCCAAGUAAGACAAAAUAGUAAAAAGGCAAUUGGAAAAGACGCUAGCUACAAGCAUGACGAAACAGCAAAAUGCAUGUAAAAACUGGCAGGACAUAGAACGACAUCAGCAUGUUCGAACUGCAAAGCUCUGUGAAGACUAAUCGAAAUGUUGAAUUUGAUAACUAACCUUGAAUUUCAACCGCAUUUGAGUUUCAUUUAAUAACUGUAUCAAAGUCAUAUAAGAACCAGACUUCAACAUAAUGAAGGAGAGAAUAACUGCUCCGACCAUCUUUUUCUUUCACUGGGAACCUUCAUCUCUGCACUCUGCAAAUUCUUGGCCUCGCUCCUCAUAGAUUCAGCAUACUCUACCGCAUCUUAGAAUGGAGAAUCUCUCAAUCUUCACUCUUCCAUCGUUAUUUUCGAUUUGGCUUAC